Molecule: ribosomal RNA, 2628 nt
Filed under: Triticum aestivum (bread wheat)
Lineage: Eukaryota; Viridiplantae; Streptophyta; Magnoliopsida; Poales; Poaceae
Description: partial small subunit ribosomal RNA
Source: RNAcentral
AUGGAGGAGGGGAUGCGGGUGGCGGUGGUGGGCGCCGGCGUGAGCGGCCUGGCGGCGGCGCACGAGCUGGCCCGGGCCGGCGGCGGGGCGGCGCGCGUGACGGUGUACGAGGCGGAGGAGAGCCUCGGCGGCCACGCCAGGACCGCCGACGUCGACGGCGUCCCCCUCGACCUCGGCUUCAUGGUCUUCAACCGGGUGACAUACCCAAACAUGCUGGAAUGGUUCGAAGAGCUUGGCGUGGAGAUGGAGAUAUCAGACAUGUCGCUGUCAGUGAGCACGCAGCUCUCAGGCGGCGGCAGGUGCGAGUGGGGCAGCCGGAACGGCCUCUCGGGCCUCCUGGCACAGAAGAGCAAUGCCCUCCGGCCCGCCUUCUGGCACAUGAUCCGCGAGAUACUCAAGUUCAAAGAGGAUGCCCUCAAGUACCUUGAGGACCAUGAGAGCAACCCUGACCUGAACCGGCACGAGACUCUGGGGCAGUUCAUCCAGACGCAUGGAUACUCCCAGCUCUUCCAGGAGGCUUACCUGAUCCCAAUCUGUGCGAGCAUAUGGUCAUGCCCGUCGCAGGGGGUGCUCGGCUUCUCCGCUUUCUUCGUCCUCUCCUUCUGCCGCAACCAUCACCUCCUUCAGAUCUUCGGUCGGCCCCAAUGGCUCACCGUCAAAGGCCGCUCGCAUACAUAUGUAAACAAGGUAAGGGAUGAGCUGGAAAACAUGGGUUGUCAGAUUAAGACCAGCUGCCAAGUCAAAUCAGUUUCAAGCUUUGAAGGAGGAUACAGAGUCUUGGAGGUCGGUGGCUCGGAGGAGGUGUAUGACAAGAUCAUAUUUGGUGCUCAUGCACCCGAUGUUCUGAGAAUGCUAGGGGAUGAAGCAACACACGAGGAGUUGAGAAUUCUGGGUGCUUUCCAAUAUGUCCACAGUGACAUAUACCUCCAUCGCGAUGACACUUUGAUGCCACAGAACCCGUCGGCGUGGAGCGCCUGGAACUUCUUGGGGACAACAAGCAGCGGCGUCUCUGUUACCUACUGGCUAAAUCUCCUCCAGAACAUCGAAUCCACCGGCAGGCCGUUCCUGGUGACGCUGAAUCCACCUCAUGUCCCGGAUCAUGUCGUGCUCAAAUGGAACACCGGCCAUCCUGUUCCGUCUGUCGCUGCUGCAAAGGCUUCGUUGGAGCUUCAGCAGAUCCAAGGAAACAGGGGAAUAUGGUUCUGUGGGGCAUAUCAAGGUUAUGGCUUCCAUGAAGAUGGCCUUAAGGCUGGGAAGUCUGCAGCUCAAUGUUUACUUGGGCAGAAGAGCAGCCUUCUUCUGAACCCGAAACAGAUGGUCCCGUCGUGGACGGAAACUGGGGCUCGCCUUCUGGUAACAAGGUUUCUCAACCAAUAUGUCACCAUCGGUAACAUGACCAUUCUUGAAGAAGGUGGCACUAUGUUCAGUUUUGGUGAAGUCGACAAAAAAUGUCUUGUCAAAACUGUCCUGCGAGUUCAUGACCCUCUCUUCUACUGGAAGGUCGCAACCGAAGCGGAUCUUGGUAUGGCAGAUGCAUAUAUUAAUGGUUAUUUUUCUUUUGUUGAUAAAAGAGAAGGGCUCCUGAAUCUUUUCCUGAUUCUCAUUGCUAACAGAGAUGCGCAGAAGAGUAGUAACAGUGCUGCCGGUAAAAGGGGUUGGUGGACGCCCAUGCUUUUAACAGCUGGGAUUGCAUCGGCAAAAUAUUUCCUCCGCCACAUCUCAAGGAAGAAUACUGUCACGCAAACUCGCCGAAACAUCUCUCAGCACUAUGAUCUGAGUAAUGAUUUCUUCUCGAUUUUCCUGGAUCCAUCGAUGACUUACUCGUGCGCAGUAUUCAAGGUGGAAGAUGAAAGCUUGGAAGUAGCCCAGCAACGCAAAGUUAACCUCCUAAUCAAGAAGGCUAAAGUGGAGCGGAAUCAUCAUGUUCUUGAAAUCGGUAGCGGUUGGGGCAGCUUGGCAAUGGAAGUGGUGAAGCAAACGGGAUGCAAGUACACAGGGAUUACACUGUCUGAGGAGCAACUUAAAUAUGCUCAAAUGAAAGUAAAGGAGGCUGGUUUGGAGGAUCGUAUAACUUUUCUGCUGUGUGACUACCGUCAAAUACCAAGCCGGUGUAAGUACGACAGGAUCAUAUCAUGCGAGAUGAUUGAAGGGGUUGGUCAUGAAUUCAUGGACGAUUUCUUUGGCUGUUGUGAGUCUCUAUUGGCUCCAGAUGGCCUAUUUGUCCUCCAGUUCAUAUCGAUUCCGGAAGAACGGUAUGAGGAAUACAGGAGAAGUUCAGACUUCAUAAAGGAAUACAUCUUUCCAGGGGGUUGCCUUCCUUCCUUGGCCCGGAUCACGUCAGCCAUGUCCGCCGCGUCCAGGCUCUGCAUCGAGCAGGUUGAGAACAUCGGGUACCAUUACUACCCGACGCUGAUACGCUGGAGGGAUAACUUCAUGGCCAACAAAGAUGCCAUUUUGGCUCUUGGAUUUGACGACAAGUUCAUCCGUGUAUGGGAGUAUUAUUUCAUAUACUGUGCUGCCGGUUUCAAGUCACGGACGCUUGGAACUUACCAGAUUGUGUUUUCUCGACCUGGCAACGACAAGCUGGCCUGCGUCGACAACCCCUACGCAAGCCUUCCGGCAGCCUAG